This 282-nucleotide unclassified non-coding RNA is filed under the name Hevea brasiliensis (rubber tree). Lineage: Eukaryota; Viridiplantae; Streptophyta; Magnoliopsida; Malpighiales; Euphorbiaceae. The record is from RNAcentral.
UUUAAUAGAGUGCUUUUCCCACUACUUUGAGGGCCCAUGAUGGAGACCACAGCAUAUGAUAGUCCACAUUCCCCCAAUCUCACCUCCUUGAUAAAUUGUUCUAUUCCAGUAGCAUUAAAUGCACCAUCUCCAUCAAUCAGCUGAGUAGAACAACAUUCUUCAUUUUUCGCCAUUUGAAUUGGAUCGGAACUGGAGAGGAUUGAAAGCUCAAUUCGACCUAAGGAGAUGUUUGGCAGUGCAGAUCGAUUGAUAAAGAAAAAAGACAGAUCUCAAAAGAAGAAU